Molecule: long non-coding RNA, 146 nt
Organism: Oxyura jamaicensis (ruddy duck)
Lineage: Eukaryota; Metazoa; Chordata; Aves; Anseriformes; Anatidae
Exons: 3
Source: RefSeq, a predicted model, not a curated record
UCUUUCUCUAGAGACUUUCAAAACCCAACAGGAUGCAUUCCUGUGUGACAUGAUUUAGGUGUUCCUGCUCCAGCAGGGGGAUUGGACUAGAUAAUCUUCCAAGGUCCCUUCCAAUCCCUAACAUUUUGUGACUGUAAUAUUGGAAG